GGGGGUAUAGCUCAGUGGUAGAGUACCUGCUUGGCAUGCUCGAGGCCUUGGGUUUAAUACCCAGCACCACAA
RNAcentral lists this transfer RNA (72 nucleotides) under Heterocephalus glaber (naked mole-rat). It matches the Rfam family "tRNA". From Rfam's summary of the family: Transfer RNA (tRNA) molecules are approximately 80 nucleotides in length. Their secondary structure includes four short double-helical elements and three loops (D, anti-codon, and T loops). The record is from Rfam by way of RNAcentral. Lineage: Eukaryota; Metazoa; Chordata; Mammalia; Rodentia; Bathyergidae.